UUGAUAAUUUAGCGUAUGCUACACUAAACAUGUGCACUGUUACCGCUAUUUGGCGGCCGAAAGUCGUCAUUCGGCAUCAUUUUAACCUACUAUUAACUUUUUAUAACUGUAAUCAUAAAAUCUUAUGA
RNAcentral lists this unclassified non-coding RNA (128 nucleotides) under soil metagenome. Its description in RNAcentral is "partial internal transcribed spacer 1". The record is from RNAcentral.